ACGAACGCUGGCGGCGUGCCUCAUCCAUGCCAGUCGAACGCUUCUUUCCUCCCGAGUGCUUGCACUCAAUUGGAAAGAGGAGUGGCGGACGGGUGAGUAACACGUGGGUAACCUACCCAUCAGAGGGGGAUAACACUUGGAAACAGGUGCUAAUACCGCAUAACAGUUUAUGCCGCAUGGCAUAAGAGUGAAAGGCGCUUUCGGGUGUCGCUGAUGGAUGGACCCGCGGUGCAUUAGCUAGUUGGUGAGGUAACGGCUCACCAAGGCCACGAUGCAUAGCCGACCUGAGAGGGUGAUCGGCCACACUGGGACUGAGACACGGCCCAGACUCCUACGGGAGGCAGCAGUAGGGAAUCUUCGGCAAUGGACGAAAGUCUGACCGAGCAACGCCGCGUGAGUGAAGAAGGUUUUCGGAUCGUAAAACUCUGUUGUUAGAGAAGAACAAGGACGUUAGUAACUGAACGUCCCCUGACGGUAUCUAACCAGAAAGACACGGCUAACUACGUG
RNAcentral lists this ribosomal RNA (507 nucleotides) under uncultured bacterium. RNAcentral describes it as "partial 16S ribosomal RNA". It matches the Rfam family "Bacterial small subunit ribosomal RNA", at positions 29 to 507 of the family's 1533-position model. The record is from RNAcentral.